RNAcentral lists this ribosomal RNA (472 nucleotides) under uncultured bacterium. Its description in RNAcentral is "bacterial SSU rRNA". It matches the Rfam family "Bacterial small subunit ribosomal RNA", at positions 330 to 794 of the family's 1533-position model. The record is from RNAcentral.
GCCAGACUCCUACGGGAGGCAGCAGUGGGGAAUAUUGCACAAUGGGCGCAAGCCUGAUGCAGCCAUGCCGCGUGUGUGAAGAAGGCCUUCGGGUUGUAAAGCACUUUCAGCGGGGGGGAAGGCAAUAAGGUUAAUAACCUUGUUGAUUGACGUUACCCGCAGAAGAAGCACCGGCUAACUCCGUGCCAGCAGCCGCGGUAAUACGGAGGGUGCAAGCGUUAAUCGGAAUUACUGGGCGUAAAGCGCACGCAGGCGGUCUGUCAAGACGGAUGUGAAAUCCCCGGGCUCAACCUGGGAACUGCAUUCGAAACUGGCAGGCUAGAGUCUUGUAGAGGGGGGUAGAAUUCCAGGUGUAGCGGUGAAAUGCGUAGAGAUCUGGAGGAAUACCGGUGGCGAAGGCGGCCCCCUGGACAAAGACUGACGCUCAGGUGCGAAAGCGUGGGGAGCAAACAGGAUUAGAUACCCGUGUACA